Molecule: non-coding RNA, 5022 nt
Organism: Camellia sinensis
Lineage: Eukaryota; Viridiplantae; Streptophyta; Magnoliopsida; Ericales; Theaceae
Source: RefSeq, a predicted model, not a curated record
UGAAUUUAUAACUUUUUUAGCUCGUUAAGGCUUGUGGACAAGCUCGAGCUCGAGUCGAGCCUAAGCCAACUCGGCUCGAGCUCGAGCUCGGUUCGUUAAAUUUUUAUUCAGCUCGAGCUCGAACUCGAGCUCGUUAAAAUCUUAAUAAACAAAUCCAAACAUACUAAAGCUCGACUCGGCUCGUUUGCAACCCUAGUCAUUGCCAAUUGAGAGGACUACUGCCCUAAUGCUGUUCGGACUUGACAGGAACUUCUGUUUGUUUGGAAUAUAACAAGAAGUCAUUUUCUUCACCAAGACCAUCGAUGUGUGACAAAGACCAUUAAUGUUUAAACUAACGGGAAUUAAUCAUUCAUGUCAAGUGCAAGAAGAAUUAAUCAUUAAUGUUUAAACUAUUGGGAAUUAGUCUAGAAAAUCUUUAUUCUUUAGCAUUCAAGGCUUUCUAAGUUUUUAGGUUCAGGUGAAGCGUUAGUCCUUACAAUAUUAGUGAAGCAUUAAUGCACCAACCUAGUAGAAAUCUUUGGAAAUAGGUAUUGAAAGUGAACUUGGUUAAUGAUAACCAUGGAACAUAUCUCUUUGGAUGAAAGUUUACAAAAUAUUAUGUUGCCAUUACCAAUUGGUUGAAUCAAAAUACUAGUUUCAAUGGUAUCCUAUGACAAUUUGAACAUGUUGUCUCAAUUUUGGACUACUGUAAUAAUAUUUCAGGUCUAAUGAUUUUUUUUUUUGGUUUCAAUAUUUGCAUGCACACUUAUUCUAACCUACUCAUGGAUCAUUUGAGCGAAAAAUUGGCUUGACAGUCUAGAAUUAUUUAGUUUGGUGAAGCCUUCCAAAUCACAGAUGGCUUGCAAAUCCUGAAGAUUUCCUACGAGUUUUUAGUUAGCAUUGCACAUUUGACCAUUUGUCCAUUUGUGAUGAUUCAUUGAAAUCAUGAACUUGCACUUAAUAUGAAUCUCAAGGUUUCUACUAGAUUUAUUCAUGGUUUUGAUCAAACUAGUAUAAUUCAGAGAAGAAAAUGAAGUCUUACACUUUCUUGAGUCGUAUUCCUUUGUGCAUCUGUAUAUUGAGCAAAUAUAUUUCAGUUUCACAUAGCUGCACUCGGCUCAUCAAUUCCUCAAGUUGGCUUCAAAUUUGAUCCAAGUUCUGCUGAACUGACGGAAUCUUCAAUUCUUUCAUGCAGGCCUUUACAGGUGUUACAGAUAUUGCUGGUGGGUAUGCUGCUUGGACACAGACUGGACUUCCCACGGUCUCAUAAAUGCUGCCAUUUUCUGCACAAAAUAGGCGUUUGAUGUACAAAACUCAACCAAUGUAGUAAAUUAACGUUCUGGUAAAAGGUUUACAACAGAUACUACAGAUCCUGGGAUAUGUAGGAGACUGUUAGGUCUCAUUUGUAAAAAGAAGGAAAUAAUAGCAACUUUCUCACACAUGAAGAGUUAAAAGUCCUGUUUACCAAAAAAGAAAAAGAAAAAGAAAGAACAGUUAUAAGUCCUGUUCGUGCUUUGCACCAGUGUACUUAGAUUAGCUUUUAGAAAAAUGAUUGGAGUUCUAAUAAAGGAGCUUUAAUGAGUUCUAAUAGGGGUGAGUCCUACAAUGAUAUUGAUGUUUAUGUCUUUUCUUUUUUUUUUUUUUCAUUGCCAAGUGUAUCAUUUUUAGGGGAUGUAUCAUUUUCCUAGCUUUUAUUCAAUGAAGCAAUGUAGCUCUCUUUGGGCUUCGAUCAAAUUAUAGAAACCUAGCCUAGAGAUGCUGGUCUGACCCCACCUAGUUGCUGCAACUCGCUCACCAAAAUAAGAAAACUAUUACAGCUAACUUGAGGUGUAACCUUUUGGAUUGGGGAGAGAUGGUUGGUAAGGUUCAACAACAGUGAUAAACAAAGAGAGAGAGAUGUAGUCUUUCAGCCUCUCAGCAUUUAAUGUCUUUAAUGUCCUUGAAUCUAGUGAUAUGAGAGUGUUAGGGAAUGGAGAAUUAAAUUAAGAGUUAUUGUGCCAAAUGAAGAGCUUAAAAAAUAGAGGGAGUCCAUCUCCAGGUGACCCAAAUAAUGAGGAGACUACAACGCAAAGCGAAACUUUAUAACUUGAAGAGUGCUAAAGGGAAAACUUGAAUCUUUUUUGUUAUGUAUGUUGUGUUUGUCUUUUAUUGGCUUAGCUUGUUUCUUUUGAAAGAGUAGUUUGUUUUUGUUUAUAUUUGUUUUCCAUACAAAAGAUGUGUAUUAAAAUUCACUAUAUAAAUUUCUUUUUGGGUUAUAAUAUGACUGACUUAAACCCCCCUCCAAAAAAAAAAAAAAAAUCCCUUUUGGAUAGUUGCGGCUUGGAAAUGUGAAACUUGUGCCAAAAGAUGAAACUAGCCUACUAGGGAUACCUCAAGACUAAGGGCGCUUCUUUACUUAGAUAAGAUAUUUGAAUUCAAGUUUUAUUACUGUGCUAUGCAACUUUUUUCCCCCUAUUUUCUUUGGGGCAAAAUUCACUUCCCUAUCUCUUAUUGCCCGACCAGCGGAGUUGUUCCCUCUCCCCUCUCUCUGACAAUCGAUCAGUUCAAAACUUUGAUACAGCAACGUCUCAGUCCAUGUAUUUUGAUCAGUUUGAAGCAUCUACCAUAGAUCAAUUCAAAGCGUCUGUAUGCAUAUAUUGGGUUGUUUUAUUGGUUUGAUUUUCUGAUCUAUUUAUCAAUAGGCUGUCAUGUAGAAUCGACUUCGAUUAUGUCCUGUUAAUAUAGUAUAAUAAUGUAUAUAGUAUAAUAUAUGUUAAUGUAUAAUGUAUAUAGUAUAAUAUAUUAUUGUAAUCACUAUAGGACAGAGCAUAGGGCAUAGGAUUCUUUCGGUUGCUUUCAGCUAUCUGCUUUCGACCCCUUUUCUGUUUUAUAUGUUUUUCUCUCAUGAUGAUGUUGUAUAGCAGCUCCUAUAUAAUGGAGCCUUUUCUUAUAGUUUCAAUACAUUGAAUCACAGAGUUUACUUGCUCUUUCAAUAUCACUCUCUCAAUAUAUUUUACAUGGUAUGGUGUUUUUCCUAGUCUCUUCUUCCGUUGCUGUGUAUCUCGUCUGCAUCACCUUUUCUGUUUAACAGAUUGUUGCAUAUCUCGUCCUUAUCUAAAUUACAGAUUGGACACAACAGAACCUUCGUUUCUUCACUCUGAAUCCAACGCUACCAGAUUCAUCAUCAUCGGACGUCAUAUGCGCUCUCACGCGCCACAUUUGUCGUCGGCGCGUCACCGCUUCUGCCUUCCACGUCCCACGUGCUCCACGCGUCCACCAGUCGCUUGAGCCACCUCACUCUCACGCGCUACACGCGUACGCAAGCCGUUUACACUGUCUGCUUGAGCCAGCUCUCCCGCACGCGUCCCUCUUUCGCGCCGCGCCGCUUCGCGCCGCUUUCGUCUUCGGCUCGCGCCACUUUCGUCUUCGACUCGCGCCACUUGCACACACCUGUGCCCUCGGCUCCAGCUGGCCCAGCUCAAACCGGCUCAGCACCUUUCCCAGGCCGGUUCACCCUUAUUUUUUGUCUUUUCUGGCCGGUUCAGUCCGAUUCCUCACUAAUUUGAACCUUCUGCAUUCACUGGUGCCCUCAGAUUUUUCAGAUUCUACCUCGAUAGUACUAAUUUUCCUUUAUGGAUCGCCCGGACUCCUCUAACCACCCUAUUUCUGUUGUUCUUGAUGGGACUAACUAUGUCUUAUUGGCACAAACUAUGUCUGGAUUCCUCAAAGGAAAGAAACUUUGGCGCAUCAUCACUGGGGAUGUGUACAAACUCAUCCAAGCAACCACGGAAUCCGCAGCCACCACGGAAUCCGUUGCCAAAUAUGUUGACCGUCUGGACGAUUGGGAUAGUAAAAACUAUCAGAUCAUCACUUGGCUUCACAAUACUUCUAUUACAUCUAUCAGUCUUCAGUUUGGACGGUUUCAAUUUGACUCUGCUUCCUCUCCAGCCAAGGCCAUAUGGGAUUUUUUACAAGAACGCUAUCAGACUACUGGCCUUGCUCACCAAUAUUAGCUUCUGAGUCAUCUUCACCGUAUGCGCCAAGAUACAACUCAGACCAUUAAUGAUUUCCUCUCCCAAAUGUAUUAUGUUUGGGAUCAGCUCGCUCUUUCUGAACCUCCAUGGGGUUGUACUAAGGAUGCUGCCUUGUUUACUACUUACCGUGACCAACAGCGCUUGGUUCAGUUUCUCAUGGCUCUUACUUCCCGUUUUGAGCUAGUACGCGCAUCUCUCCUUCAUCGCACUCCUUUACCCACUCUUGAGUAAGUAAUUUCUGAACUACUGUAAGAGGAAACCAGGUUUGGCACUCUCCAUCUGCACCCUGUGGACUUUCUUCUUGCUACUCCCCAGAUUCGGAGUUCUCCUUCACCACCUUCACCACAUAGGUCCACUAUCUGCAACUACUGUAAAAACCGCAGUCUUCCGUCGACUCAUCUUCUGGUUAAUUGUCCAGUUCGUUUUUGUCGGUUUUGCAACAAGACUGGUCCUGGUCAUCUCCAGCAAGAUUGUUUCCGCAAUCCUGCCCGUGUCUCUCGCAAUGGACCUUCCCUCGGGAAUUUUUCCCGCAGCAACUCUCACUGUUCUGGGACUCUGUUUAAACCAAUGCCUGCUCAACACACUGCUGCUGCUGCCUCAGAGGAUUUACCUUUCUCUGUCCCUAUAGAUCCUUCCACUCCAGUCUUCUCUCAAACAGAUAUCGAAGCCAUGCUUCAACAUUUUUGGUAGAAUUCCGGUACUCCUCCAUCUACUGCUUUGUCUGUCACCGCAGGACCCUCGGACGGGGCAAACUCUUGGGAUAGGCCGUAAGCAUGGACGUCUCUACGAACUCAUCCAUCUUCAUGUUUCAGAUUCCUCUUAGAUUACAGCUCCUACCACUGCUCCUCCUUUAUCUCAUUUUCAGCUUUGGCACUGUCGUUUAGGCCAUCUUUCUAUUGGUCGUUUAAAAUCUUUAAUUUCUAGUAGUCAUUUAGGUCACGUAAGUUCUGAUGCUUUAGAUUGUGUGUCCUGUCAACUUGCCAAACAACCUGCUUUGUCAUUUAAUAAAAGUGACUCUGUUUCUCUUGCA